GACGUAGGGCGCGAGCGUUGUCCGGAUUUAUUGGGCGUAAAGCGCGCGUAGGCGGCUACUUAAGUCGGAUGUGAAAGCCCUUGGCUCAACUGAGGAAGUGCACCCGAAACUGAGUAGCUGGAGUACGAAAGAGGGUCGCGGAAUUCCCGGUGUAGAGGUGAAAUUCGUAGAUAUCGGGAGGAACACCGGUGGCGAAGGCGGCGACCUGGGUCGAUACUGACGCUGAGGCGCGAAAGCGUGGGGAGCAAACAGG
RNAcentral lists this ribosomal RNA (253 nucleotides) under uncultured bacterium. RNAcentral describes it as "partial 16S ribosomal RNA". It matches the Rfam family "Bacterial small subunit ribosomal RNA", at positions 524 to 776 of the family's 1533-position model. The record is from RNAcentral.